UGGGGAAUAUUGCACAAUGGGGGAAACCCUGAUGCAGCGACGCCGCGUGAGCGAAGAAGGUUUUCGAAUCGUAAAGCUCUGUCCUAUGGGAAGAUAAUGACGGUACCAUAGGAGGAAGCCCCGGCUAACUACGUGCCAGCAGCCGCGGUAAUACGUAGGGGGCAAGCGUUGUCCGGAAUCACUGGGCGUAAAGGGUUCGCAGGCGGAAAUGCAAGUCAGUUGUGAAAGGCAGAGGCUCAACCUCUGUAAGCAAUUGAAACUGUAUUUCUUGAGAUGUGGAGAGGCAAGUGGAAUUCCUAGUGUAGCGGUGAAAUGCGUAGAUAUUAGGAAGAAUACCGGUGGCGAAGGCGACUUGCUGGACACAAACUGACGCUGAGGAACGGAAGCGUGGGUAGCAAACAGG
This 403-nucleotide ribosomal RNA is filed under the name Verrucomicrobiota bacterium. Its description in RNAcentral is "Verrucomicrobia bacterium partial 16S ribosomal RNA". It matches the Rfam family "Bacterial small subunit ribosomal RNA", at positions 355 to 776 of the family's 1533-position model. The record is from RNAcentral. Lineage: Bacteria; Pseudomonadati; Verrucomicrobiota.